Molecule: non-coding RNA, 1214 nt
Organism: Gasterosteus aculeatus aculeatus (three-spined stickleback)
Lineage: Eukaryota; Metazoa; Chordata; Actinopteri; Perciformes; Gasterosteidae
Source: RefSeq, a predicted model, not a curated record
UGGUGCUGCGGGUGUUUGGUCUUUCUCGGGAUCACGGAGUCCUAUCUUUGACACAGCAGACUGAAUGGAUAUCAUGUGUUUGCGGUGACCUCUCGUCGCGCUGUCCAACAUCUGCCUGUCAAAGUGUCAGAAAUCUGCUGAUCCAGUCUGUUGAUGCGCUCGCCGCAGCAGUCGCACAGAGGACUCAUUGCAACGAGUUAGCUUCUAGCUAGCUAGCGAAACAGCAACAAGCCGCCGUGUCAACACGUGGGUGUUUCUCUAACCGGAAGCAACAACUUUGACUUCCGGUUGGCCGGCCAUGGGUUUUUCAGGCACCCACGUAGGAUACGUGAAGAUCUGAGAAAGGUUCUUCUAACGGACAGCUUGUAUUGUGUAUAUUACAUGAAUAGAUGUCCUCCUCAUCACCUGGGCCCAAGUCCUUAAUCAGGACCUGGUCAAGGACCUUUCUGCUCUGUGACUCUGUGAAGAGGGUGUCCUCCUGAGGAGGAGCUGCAGUCGGAACAGGGGCUUGAGUCAGGACUGGAACUGCAUCUGGAGCUGAAUAUGGAACAGAGACUGGAGCGAAAUCUGCAAGUUUGACGGGAAAUGAAACCGGAGCUGAGGGUGAAAAAAGGUCUGGAGUCGGAAGAACGGGAGCGGGAGGAGUCGGAGAAGCAGCAAAGACGGGGCUUUGGAUGGAUCCGAGCAGUGGCCGAGGUGCGGGGGCAGCGGGGACAGCGGGGACAGAUGACGGUCGUGAUUCCCCAUCCAGCACAGGGGAUAAAGAUUCUGGGGUUUGAUACGGGACGACCUCAGCAGGUUCGGGCACCACCGCCGCAGGAGCUUCCUGAGGCACUGCUGCCUCCUCCUGAUUGACACAGAUCUCCGGCGCGGGCUCACUCUUCUUGGGCCUCCCUCUCCGCUUCGUGCCACUCUCAGCCCUCGGCCUUUUCCUUUGACUCUCCACCCUGAGAGAGUUCAACAAAUCCAAUCAACCUCCCAACAGUGGGGCAUUGAUACAGCUUUCUGUGAUACUUCUGCAAAGCUAAUAGUACAAAGUCCUUGACCUGGAUCUGGGGCGUCAAUAGAAGCACUAAAGCAACCUUUGGUUUCCUCUUGCUCCAUAUUCAACAUAGAGCAGAGGGUUGAUAAGCAGCUGGAGUGCUGAUAAAGAUUUGACAGCGCAAGUACAGUGUUGUAUAGAAGCAGUCCUAAUAAAGCCUUAUUAAACAUUA